Molecule: ribosomal RNA, 466 nt
Filed under: uncultured bacterium
Lineage: Bacteria
Description: partial 16S ribosomal RNA
Rfam family: Bacterial small subunit ribosomal RNA
Source: RNAcentral
CGAACGCUGGCGGCGUGCUUAACACAUGCAAGUCGAACGGAAAGGCCCUGCUUUUGUGGGGUACUCGAGUGGCGAACGGGUGAGUAACACGUGAGUAACCUGCCCUUGACUUUGGGAUAACUUCAGGAAACUGGGGCUAAUACCGGAUAGGAGCUCCUGCUGCAUGGUGGGGGUUGGAAAGUUUCGGCGGUUGGGGAUGGACUCGCGGCUUAUCAGCUUGUUGGUGGGGUAGUGGCUUACCAAGGCUUUGACGGGUAGCCGGCCUGAGAGGGUGACCGGCCACAUUAGGACUGAGAUACGGCCCAGACUCCUACGGGAGGCAGCAGUGGGGAAUAUUGCACAAUGGGCGGAAGCCUGAUGCAGCAACGCCGCGUGCGGGAUGACGGCCUUCGGGUUGUAAACCGCUUUCGCCUGUGACGAAGCGUGAGUGACGGUAAUGGGUAAAGAAGCACCGGCUAACUACGUG